GACAGAGGUGCCGAGCGUUAGGCGGAAUCACUGGGCUUAAAGCGUGUGUAGGCGGAUCGUUAAGUACCUUGUGAAAUCCCACGGCUUAACCGUGGAACUGCUGGGUAUACUGGCGAUCUUGAGCCACCUAGGGGCAACCGGAACAAGUGGUGGAGCGGUGAAAUGCGUAGAUAUCAUUUGGAACGCCAAUGGUGAAAACAGGUUGCUGGGGGUGUGCUGACGCUGAGACACGAAAGCCAGGGGAGCGAACGGG
RNAcentral lists this ribosomal RNA (253 nucleotides) under uncultured bacterium. RNAcentral describes it as "partial 16S ribosomal RNA". It matches the Rfam family "Bacterial small subunit ribosomal RNA", at positions 524 to 776 of the family's 1533-position model. The record is from RNAcentral.